CGNAUGUAGCCAAGUGGAUUAAGGCAGU
This 28-nucleotide transfer RNA is filed under the name Chionanthus domingensis. RNAcentral describes it as "partial tRNA-His". Lineage: Eukaryota; Viridiplantae; Streptophyta; Magnoliopsida; Lamiales; Oleaceae. The record is from RNAcentral.